Molecule: ribozyme, 76 nt
Filed under: Crocodylus porosus (Australian saltwater crocodile)
Lineage: Eukaryota; Metazoa; Chordata; Crocodylia; Crocodylidae
Description: Mammalian CPEB3 ribozyme (ENSCPRG00005004815.1)
Rfam family: Mammalian CPEB3 ribozyme
About the family: The mammalian CPEB3 ribozyme is a self cleaving RNA located in the second intron of the CPEB3 gene which belongs to a family of genes regulating messenger RNA polyadenylation. This ribozyme is highly conserved and found only in mammals.
Source: Rfam by way of RNAcentral
UAAGGUGCCCGGGGGUCACAGUAGAAGUGCUCAUGACAUAGCCCUGUCAGAUUGCAAUGAAUCUGCAAAUUCUGCU